GGCGAGUGAGCGGCAAAAGCUCAAAUUUGAAAUCUGGCGUCUUUGGCGUCCGAGUUGUAAUUUGAAGAAGGUAUCUUUGGGCCCGGCUCUUGUCUAUGUUCCUUGGAACAGGACGUCACAGAGGGUGAGAAUCCCGUGCGAUGAGAUGACCCGGGUCUGUGUAAAGUUCCUUCGACGAGUCGAGUUGUUUGGGAAUGCAGCUCUAAGUGGGUGGUAAAUUCCAUCUAAAGCUAAAUAUUGGCGAGAGACCGAUAGCGAACAAGUACAGUGAUGGAAAGAUGAAAAGAACUUUGAAAAGAGAGUGAAAAAGUACGUGAAAUUGUUGAAAGGGAAGGGCUUGAGAUCAGACUUGGUAUUUUGCAUGCUGCUCUCUCGGGGGCGGCCGCUGCGGUUUACCGGGCCAGCAUCGGUUUGGAGCGGCAGGAUAAUGGCGGAGGAAUGUGGCACGGCUUCUGCUGUGUGUUAUAGCCUCUGACGAUACUGCCAGCCUAGACCGAGGACUGCGGUUUUUACCUAGGAUGUUGGCAUAAUGAUCUUAAGUCGCCCGUC
RNAcentral lists this ribosomal RNA (549 nucleotides) under Candida albicans. Its description in RNAcentral is "eukaryotic LSU rRNA". It matches the Rfam family "Eukaryotic large subunit ribosomal RNA", at positions 88 to 653 of the family's 3401-position model. The record is from RNAcentral. Lineage: Eukaryota; Fungi; Ascomycota; Pichiomycetes; Serinales; Debaryomycetaceae.